This 553-nucleotide ribosomal RNA is filed under the name Culicoides imicola. RNAcentral's name for it is "partial 16S ribosomal RNA". The stretch from base 408 to 553 matches the Rfam family "Bacterial large subunit ribosomal RNA", at positions 2473 to 2619 of the family's 2925-position model. The record is from RNAcentral. Lineage: Eukaryota; Metazoa; Arthropoda; Insecta; Diptera; Ceratopogonidae.
CGCUUGUUUAUCAAAAACAUGUUUUUUUGAUUAAAUAAAAAGUCUAGCCUGCCCGGUGAAUUUUUAACGGCCGCAGUAUACUGACUGUGCAAAGGUAGCAUAAUCUAUUGUCUUUUAAUUAAAGGCUUGUAUGAAUGGUUGAAUGAGAUAUUAACUAUUUUUAUUUUAAUAAAAAUGAAUUUUAAUUUUUAGUAAAAAUGCUAAAAUAAAAAAAUUAGACGAGGAGACCCUAUAAAUCUUAAUUUUAUUUUUUAUAAUAUUAAUUUUGAAAAUUUUUAAUAAAUUAUAAAAAUAAAAUUUUAUUGGGAGGAUAAUGAAAUUUAAUAAACUUUUAUUUUUUUUUAUAAAUAUAAUUAAAUUAUUGAAUAUAUAAUUAUAAAAUAUUUAAAAAAUUAAGUUACUUUAGGGAUAACAGCGUAAUUAUUUUAAAGAGUUCUUAUCGAUAAAAUAGUUUGCGACCUCGAUGUUGAAUUAAGAAUUAAUUUAGGUGUAGAAGUUUAAAUUUUAAGUCUGUUCGACUUUUGAAUCCUUACUUGAUCUGAGUUCAGACCGG